Molecule: long non-coding RNA, 1512 nt
Organism: Hemicordylus capensis (graceful crag lizard)
Lineage: Eukaryota; Metazoa; Chordata; Lepidosauria; Squamata; Cordylidae
Exons: 5
Source: RefSeq, a predicted model, not a curated record
CAUAUGGACCUUCAUAGAGGAAUUUGAAAGGCCUGUGCAUUUCAAGGAAGUUAGAUACAGGACUUGGCAUACAGAGGCAUUCAUAAAUUCAAACCCUAGAGAUUUAGCAGAUUUAGCAGAUUUAGCUAUAGUAUUAACAGCUAUAAUUGUAUCUUUCAUUAAAGAGAACCUUUCUUUCAUGAAGUAGGAUGUUGUCUAGUAGUUCAGCCUCCAAGCAGUCAUGUUCAAUGUCUGCAGGCCACGAUGGAGGAUUUUUUGCCUUUGUCCUGGGGAGAAGGUUGGUGGAGGGUUGGUGGAGACGACAGUUGAGGCCUAGAGAGAGAUAUGGCUACACAGAGGCCUACUGGGCAUGUGUGGCAGUCUCCAAAAUGGCUGCUGCCAUGCAGGUCAGGCCCAGAAUGGGCUGAAGACUGCCUGGACCGGGUGGUUUUUACCAUAACAGAGGCCAGCGGGGCGGGGGUUCCUGGUGAUCCCCCCCUGCAGCCCCGGAGAAGCCCCUGGAGUGGGAGGCUCGUGGAAGAAUCUAUAUGUCCCUAUAGGUGCUCUCUGGCCCUUUAAAGCAUAGUGGUAUUGGAGCCUACAAAACCAGCGGUAGAGCGCCUUCCUCUUCAGUUCUUGAAUCGGCUGCUGCGAAUGGACUGACAACAUUGAGAGAUAGAGAAGACAGCCUGCAAGCCACAGCAGCCUAGAAUUUCAUCUAAAAGUUCAGCUUCCAUGCUAUUAGCGGGAAGGUCUGAAGGGCAUGGUCGAGGACCAGACCCCCAUCUCUUGUGAGGAGGUCCUAUUGACGUGGAAGGUGAAGGUUUGGAUGGAAGACAGACAGCAGCCAGAGUUGUAGUCUCUGCAUCCUCAAGCAUGCAUUUGCCACAAUCAUGGUUGCAUGAAUAAGACCCAGCAGAUGUUGGAUGUACCGAGCCCGUUGCUUGGGGGAAGACUGGAAAGUGAUCACCAUGGAGGAAAUGGCCUGGGUACAUUCUACAGGAACAAGGGAACAGGAGCAGAUCCUUCACAAGGCAGCACAAGUGGCGGAUGAGAAAGAAUUGAAGAGGGAGGCACUCUACAGCCAGCUUUGCAGACUCCAAUAUCACUACACCUUAAAAGGCCAGAGAACACCUAAACGGAGCUAUUGAUUCUUCCUCAGGCCUCCUGUACAGGCACAGAAGACCCAGUUGUGAGGGACCAUGGAUCCCUACAGAGAUGUAAUUGCUAUGGCAAUAUUGUUUGCUUGACUUCUAGACACCCUCAAACAGCUCUUUUUAAUUAUGUCAAAUCUGACAGAAAUCUGACACAAUAGAGAUUUCAUGCUGACAUUUCUGAUAUGAUAGCUGCACCGCCCCAGUGCCAAGUUGCAUUGAAAUUAAUCUGCCAUUUCCAGACAUGGUCGAUGUUGACUUCAAAAGCACUGUCAUUUCAACAUGCACAGCCCUACUGAAAACAUUAUAAAAAUCAAUCUUUAUUUUUAUGUUCCAAGACCAGCCAACAAAAAAAUACAAUGAAAAUUAUGAAAACACA